UGGGGAAUAUUGCACAAUGGGCGCAAGCCCGAUGCAGCAACGCCGCGUGCGGGAUGACGGCCUUCGGGUUGUAAACCGCUUUUAGUAAGGAAGAAGGGGCCCUUUCGGGGGUUUUGACGGUACUUGCAGAAAAAGGACCGGCUAACUACGUGCCAGCAGCCGCGGUAAUACGUAGGGUCCGAGCGUUGUCCGGAAUUAUUGGGCGUAAAGAGCUCGUAGGCGGUUUGUCGCGUCUGCUGUGAAAUCCCGAGGCUCAACCUCGGGUCUGCAGUGGGUACGGGCAGACUGGAGUGCGGUAGGGGAGAAUGGAAUUCCUGGUGUAGCGGUGGAAUGCGCAGAUAUCAGGAGGAACACCGAUGGCGAAGGCAGUUCUCUGGGCCGUAACUGACGCUGAGGAGCGAAAGCGUGGGGAGCGAACAGGAUUAGAUACCCUGGUACGUCCACGCCGUAAACGUUGGGACGCUAGAUGUGGGGACCUUUCCGACGGUUUCCGUGUCGUAGCU
This 503-nucleotide ribosomal RNA is filed under the name uncultured Actinomycetes bacterium. RNAcentral's name for it is "bacterial SSU rRNA". It matches the Rfam family "Bacterial small subunit ribosomal RNA", at positions 355 to 853 of the family's 1533-position model. Lineage: Bacteria; Bacillati; Actinomycetota; Actinomycetes. The record is from RNAcentral.